Long non-coding RNA from Gambusia affinis (western mosquitofish), 1936 nucleotides. RefSeq lists it as uncharacterized. The record is from RefSeq and is a predicted model, not a curated record. The transcript has 4 exons. NCBI's taxonomy places the organism in Eukaryota, Metazoa, Chordata, Actinopteri, Cyprinodontiformes, Poeciliidae.
UUGAAGGGAAAGUGCCAUGCAGUCAUGACAGUGAUGCAGGUGAUCAGUAUUCAUUUGUGGCAGGUUCUCCUUGAAGUAUCAGCAGGGGGCAGAAGGGUAAUUGUGAGUUGAGAUGCUAAUGAGAGAAAAAUUAACCUUAAUGAGAGACUGGUGGGUGUGAGGUGAAGGUUUCCUACAAUUCUGGCCUGAUUUUGAGUUUUAGUUUAUGCAGUGUUGAGCUUUUUUUCUUGGAAAUCUUGUAAGAGGAUGGAAUGAAAUGAGUCCUAUUCUAGUACCGCCCCUUCAACAGGUGGUGCUCACAAUCCCAAACUCUUGAGUGCAGAACAAAAGAGCCUGUGUCCCUCAGAAAGAGGAUUAUUUGAAUAAACGCAGACUAUAGACCAGCGUUGUGGGAGUCAGCUUAGAAGUAUCCACAUUUUUGCAGCAGUGUUGGGUUUGCACCUCUGAGGACUCGUAUGCAAAAUGAGGCUUUUUCUGGGAGUUUCUCUCGUUAUUCUCUUCCUGUGGCUACAGUCGGCUCAGAAGUCCAGCAACAGCAGAAAUGUUUGUGAGGCAGCAUCUAUGAGCGAAGCGGUGGUGUCUUUCCUGUUAUCGCCUCUGUCUCUGUAUUCGUGGAUGGCCUCUACGCUGCUCAGAUUCGUCGUCUCCCUACCGGCUCUCGUGUCCAGCGCUCUUCAUCACUCCCUGCUGCUGCUCCUGGCUGGACCUUGGUGUGUUGCCACAAUCUGCACCUCCUUUCUGCUUACAUGCCUCCAUGUUGGCCUGUACCUACUUCACAUGGCACUGGUUGUAGGCGCAAUGGCCUUUUUAACUCUAAAUCAGCACAAAAAGCCUGACAGCGGUAAUAUUGAUGAGUCAAAGGAAAAUGACAUGAAGGCGUGGAUCCAACAGAAGAGACUUGAAGGCCGUCUGAGAAGAAGUGGCUGCAGAAUUGUUCAGCAGGGCUGAUUUCUGUGAUGAAAAUCAUGCUAUAGUGGAUUUAUUUGAGUGAAAAACACCACUUCAGUUGCUUUGAACCUCGCUUCACCUUCAUUUACUUAAUGAAUGGGAAACCGGUAAAUUUUUAAGAUGUUUUCUGUGGUUAAAUUGGCUUUGAGACAUUUCAUAAAGAAGGAAAAAAUAAAAAUUAAAGGAAACUAGAAUGAGUCCUUGUGAUCUAAAUGAGGGUGAAAAUAUAUAUACCAGUUGCUACUGUAACAAACGCCCACCCUUUGUCCACUUAUCUAUCCCCCUCAUUUUCGCUCUCGUCAUCCUUAAAUGUGGCCUCCCAAUUAUCUGCGGAUUGUUGUGCGGUUUGCCCGCUGCCUCUCUCCCCCCCGAGAUGUUAUCAUUAGGCAUGUCUGUCAAAUGGAGAUGAGAGGAUAAAGGAAGAAGAGGGAGGAAAACGACUACAUCUUGAGCAUUCACUGUGUCAGUGCUUUUUAAUGUUUGCGUGUUUACAUGGUGGAGUCCAGCAAUGCAGGACGUGCAAACCAGAGUCCUGAAAAACACUAAUAAAGGGAGUUAACAGGGAGGGAAACUACAUGUGGUGGAGGCCCUGAACCGAGGCACUGGGUGCCUGCCCAACCGCUAAACAGCAGACCAACUGGGGCUCUCAGGGCAGCAAUGAAGGGAAGUUCAACUAUUUAAUGCAAGCUGUUGGAAUUACUGGUAAACAUGUAGGCACUGAAAGCAAAAGGAAGUUUGUGGUUUGAGGUCUGAGCGCCUGAGUGAGACGGAAAGACAGGGGCGAAAUGAGGCUGGAUCAUAGAGAUUUAUUACAUGGCCGUGGCGUCCUAAUUAGCAUAAAGACUGGCCUGGCCUGCUCAAGCAGAGAAUUAAAAACCCUAAUUGUGCUGUCAGCCUCCCUCUGUCUUUGCCACUGCUGGCUCUACUUCAUUCCACUCAGAUUUGUUUCCUUCCACUCUAGCCGCCGUCUCCUCUUCUGCCUCUCGGU